GUGUAUCAGCACAUACACUAAAACUGGAAGAUACAACAAAGAUGAACACGACCCUGUGCCAGGAUGCCACACAGAUCCAUGAGACAUUCCAUAUUUUU
RNAcentral lists this small nuclear RNA (98 nucleotides) under Peromyscus maniculatus bairdii (prairie deer mouse). Lineage: Eukaryota; Metazoa; Chordata; Mammalia; Rodentia; Cricetidae. The record is from RNAcentral.